GGUGUUAUCCUAUCUGAGCUUUUAGUCCUUCCAUUUUUUUUUUUAAUUUUCAGGUUUCAUUCUAUGAUGCAUUGCAUUAUUCUCUUUUCUUGACCUUGUAAGGCCUUUUCUUGACCUUUAACAAAUAUUAAAGGAGGUGAAAAAAGUCUCACUAUCAAGGGGGACUGGCAAAAGGGCAAUGAAUAAGGAAACGGGCAAAAAGAAUUAUGCCUUUACUCUCUCUCUCUCUCUUUUAAGGCUUUGGACAGGAAUUUACUUUUGUUUUAUGUGUUGUGUUUGUUUGGGUCUGACUGAGUGACUGACCCCAAAGGGCAAAGGCCACAAAGCCAAAACCAGAGAACUCUCUUAUUAAAUAUUCCUUCAGAAUCAUUUAUUGCCUC
Molecule: long non-coding RNA, 380 nt
Organism: Capsella rubella
Lineage: Eukaryota; Viridiplantae; Streptophyta; Magnoliopsida; Brassicales; Brassicaceae
Exons: 2
Source: RefSeq, a predicted model, not a curated record